RNAcentral lists this ribosomal RNA (421 nucleotides) under uncultured bacterium. RNAcentral's name for it is "bacterial SSU rRNA". It matches the Rfam family "Bacterial small subunit ribosomal RNA", at positions 355 to 774 of the family's 1533-position model. The record is from RNAcentral.
UAAGGAAUAUUGGUCAAUGGACGCAAGUCUGAGCCAGCUAUGCCGCGUGAAGGAUGAAGGUCCUCUGGAUUGUAAACUUCUUUUAUCUGGGACGAAAACGGGAUUUUUAUCUCAAUUGACGGUACCAGAGGAAUAAGCACCGGCUAACUCCGUGCCAGCAGCCGCGGUAAUACGGAGGGUGCGAGCGUUAACCGGAUUUACUGGGUUUAAAGGGUGCGUAGGUGGGCUUAUAAGUCAGUGGUGAAAUCUCCGAGCUUAACUUGGAAACUGCCGUUGAUACUAUAGGUCUUGAAUUAUCUGGAGGUCAGCGGAAUAUGUCAUGUAGCGGUGAAAUGCUUAGAUAUGACAUAGAACACCAAUUGCGAAGGCAGCUUACUACAUAUAAAUUGACGCUGAGGCACGAAAGCGUGGGGAUCAAACA